Molecule: ribosomal RNA, 466 nt
Filed under: uncultured bacterium
Lineage: Bacteria
Description: partial 16S ribosomal RNA
Rfam family: Bacterial small subunit ribosomal RNA
Source: RNAcentral
GAUGAACGCUGGCGGCGUGCUUAACACAUGCAAGUCGAACGGAAAGGCUCCUGCUUGCAGGGGUACUCGAGUGGCGAACGGGUGAGUAACACGUGGGUGAUCUGCCCUGCACUUCGGGAUAAGCCUGGGAAACUGGGUCUAAUACCGGAUAGGACGAUGGUUUGGAUGCCAUUGUGGAAAGUUUUUCGGUGUGGGAUGGGCUCGCGGCCUAUCAGCUUGUUGGUGGGGUAAUGGCCUACCAAGGCGUCGACGGGUAGCCGGCCUGAGAGGGUGUACGGCCACAUUGGGACUGAGAUACGGCCCAGACUCCUACGGGAGGCAGCAGUGGGGAAUAUUGCACAAUGGGCGCAAGCCUGAUGCAGCGACGCCGCGUGGGGGAUGACGGCCUUCGGGUUGUAAACUCCUUUCGCUAGGGACGAAGCGUUUUGUGACGGUACCUGGAGAAGAAGCACCGGCUAACUACGUG